Molecule: ribosomal RNA, 468 nt
Filed under: uncultured bacterium
Lineage: Bacteria
Description: partial 16S ribosomal RNA
Rfam family: Bacterial small subunit ribosomal RNA
Source: RNAcentral
GACGAACGCUGGCGGCGUGCUUAACACAUGCAAGUCGAACGGAAAGGCCCUGCUUUUGUGGGGUGCUCGAGUGGCGAACGGGUGAGUAACACGUGAGUAACCUGCCCUUGACUUUGGGAUAACUUCAGGAAACUGGGGCUAUUACCGGAUAGGAGCUCCUGCUGCAUGGUGGGGGUUGGAAAGUUUCGGCGGUUGGGGAUGGACUCGCGGCUUAUCAGCUUGUUGGUGGGGUAGUGGCUUACCAAGCCUUUGACGGGUAGCCGGCCUGAGAGGGUGACCGGCCACAUGGGGACUGAGAUACGGCCCAGACUCCUACGGGAGGCAGCAGUGGGGAAUAUUGCACAAUGGGCGGAAGCCUGAUGCAGCGACGCCGCGUGCGGGAUGACGGCCUUCGGGUUGUAAACCGCUUUCGCCUGUGACGAGGCGUGAGUGACGGUAAUGGGUAAAGAAGCACCGGCUAACUACGUG